GUGGUAAUGGAUGGGCAUGCGUUGUAUUAGUUAGUUGGUGGGGUAACGGCUCACCAAGACAACGAUACAUAGGGGGACUGAGAGGUUAACCCCCCACAUUGGUACUGAGACACGGACCAAACUCCUACGGGAGGCAGCAGUGAGGAAUAUUGGUCAAUGGACGCAAGUCUGAACCAGCCAUGCCGCGUGCAGGAAGACGGCUCUAUGAGUUGUAAACUGCUUUUGUACGAGGGUAAACGCAGAUACGCGUAUCUGUCUGAAAGUAUCGUACGAAUAAGGAUCGGCUAACUCCGUGCCAGCAGCCGCGGUAAUACGGAGGAUUCGAGCGUUAUCCGGAUUUAUUGGGUUUAAAGGGUGCGUAGGCGGUCGGAUAAGUUAGAGGUGAAAUCCCGGGGCUCAACUUCGGAAUUGCCUCUGAUACUGUUCGGCUAGAGAGUAGUUGCGGUAGGCGGAAUGUAUGGUGUAGCGGUGAAAUGCUUAGAGAUCAUACAGAACACCGAUUGCGAAGGCAGCUUACCAAGCUACUUCUGACGUUGAGGCACGAAAGCGUGGGGAGCAAACAGGAUUAGAUACCCUGGUAGUCCACGCAGUAAACGAUGAUAACUCGUUGUCGGCGAUACAAUGUCG
Molecule: ribosomal RNA, 627 nt
Filed under: uncultured bacterium
Lineage: Bacteria
Description: bacterial SSU rRNA
Rfam family: Bacterial small subunit ribosomal RNA
Source: RNAcentral